This 492-nucleotide ribosomal RNA is filed under the name uncultured bacterium. RNAcentral describes it as "partial 16S ribosomal RNA". It matches the Rfam family "Bacterial small subunit ribosomal RNA", at positions 29 to 507 of the family's 1533-position model. The record is from RNAcentral.
AGUGAACGCUGGCGGUAGGCCUAACACAUGCAAGUCGAACGGCAGCACAGUAAGAGCUUGCCCUUACGGGUGGCGAGUGGCGGACGGGUGAGGAAUACAUCGGAAUCUACUUUUUCGUGGGGGAUAACGUAGGGAAACUUACGCUAAUACUGCAUACGACCUACGGGUGAAAGCAGGGGAUCUUCGGACCUUGCGCGAUUGAAUGAGCCGAUGUCGGAUUAGCUAGUUGGCGGGGUAAAGGCCCACCAAGGCGACGAUCCGUAGCUGGUCUGAGAGGAUGAUCAGCCACACUGGAACUGAGACACGGUCCAGACUCCUACGGGAGGCAGCAGUGGGGAAUAUUGGACAAUGGGCGCAAGCCUGAUCCAGCCAUACCGCGUGGGUGAAGAAGGCCUUCGGGUUGUAAAGCCCUUUUGUUGGGAAAGAAAAGCAGCAGGUUAAUACCCCGCUGUUCUGACGGUACCCAAAGAAUAAGCACCGGCUAACUUCGUG